GGGAUUGCCCUAGUAACGGCGAGUGAAGCGGCAACAGCUCAAAUUUGAAAUCUGGCUCUUUCAGAGUCCGAGUUGUAAUUUGCAGAGGGCGCUUUGGCGUUGGCAGCGGUCCAAGUUCUUUGGAACAGGACGUCACAGAGGGUGAGAAUCCCGUACGUGGUCGCUAGACUUCGCCGUGUAAAGCCCCUUCGACGAGUCGAGUUGUUUGGGAAUGCAGCUCUAAAUGGGAGGUAAAUUUCUUCUAAAGCUAAAUACUGGCCAGAGACCGAUAGCGCACAAGUAGAGUGAUCGAAAGAUGAAAAGCACUUUGGAAAGAGAGUCAAAUAGCACGUGAAAUUGUUGAAAGGGAAGCGCUUGCAGCCAGACUUGCCUGUAGUUGCUUAUCCAGACUUUUGUCUGGUGCACUCUUCUAUAGGCAGGCCAGCAUCAGUUUGGGCGGUUGGAUAAAGGUCUCUAUCACGUACCUCUCUUCGGGGAGGCCUUAUAGGGGAGACGACAUACAACCAGCCUGGACUGAGGUCCGCGCAUCUGCUAGGAUGCUGGCGUAAUGGCUGUAAGCGGCCCGUCUUGAAACACGGACCAAGGAGUCUAACAUCUAUGCGAGUGUUUGGGUGUCAAGCCCAUACGCGUAAUGAAAGUGAACGGAGGUGGGAACCUUUUAGGUGCACCAUCGACCGAUCCUGAUGUCUUCGGAUGGAUUUGAGUAAGAGCAUGGCUGUUGGGACCCGAAAGAUGGUGAACUAUGCUUGAAUAGGGUGAAGCCAGAGGAAACUCUGGUGGAGGCUCGCAGCGGUUCUGACGUGCAAAUCGAUCGUCAAAUUUGGGCAUAGGGGCGAAAGA
This 840-nucleotide ribosomal RNA is filed under the name Ophiosphaerella agrostidis. RNAcentral describes it as "partial large subunit ribosomal RNA". It matches the Rfam family "Eukaryotic large subunit ribosomal RNA", at positions 71 to 930 of the family's 3401-position model. The record is from RNAcentral. Lineage: Eukaryota; Fungi; Ascomycota; Dothideomycetes; Pleosporales; Phaeosphaeriaceae.